This 499-nucleotide ribosomal RNA is filed under the name uncultured bacterium. RNAcentral's name for it is "bacterial SSU rRNA". It matches the Rfam family "Bacterial small subunit ribosomal RNA", at positions 46 to 537 of the family's 1533-position model. The record is from RNAcentral.
GCCUAACACAUGCAAGUCGAACGCUCUGAUUUUCGCAAGAAGUAUCAGGGAGUGGCGAACGGCUGAGUAACACGUAAGUAACCUAUCCUUAAGUGGGGGAUAACCUGUCGAAAGGCAGGCUAAUACCGCAUGUGCUGGUAGACAUUGGUUUAUCAGGAAAGGUUUUUCGCUUGAGGAGGGGCUUGCGUCUGAUUAGCUAGUUGGAAGGGUAAUGGCCUACCAAGGCGAUGAUCAGUAGCUGGUCUGAGAGGACAACCAGCCAGACGGGGACUGAGAUACGGCCCUGACUCCUACGGGAGGCAGCAGCAAGGAAUUUUGCGCAAUGGGCGAAAGCCUGACGCAGCGACACCGCGUGGGGGAUGACGGCCUUCGGGUUGUAAACCCCUUUUAUAGAGGAAGAAGACUGACGGUACUCUAUGAAUAAGUCUUGGCUAACUACGUGCCAGCAGCCGCGGUAAUACAAGGGCGAAUUUGUUUAACCNUCAGNCNNGNCCUUNGU